Molecule: ribosomal RNA, 482 nt
Filed under: uncultured bacterium
Lineage: Bacteria
Description: partial 16S ribosomal RNA
Rfam family: Bacterial small subunit ribosomal RNA
Source: RNAcentral
AUUGAACGCUGGCGGCAUGCCUUACACAUGCAAGUCGAACGGUAACAGGUCUUCGGUUGCUGACGAGUGGCGAACGGGUGAGUAAUACAUCGGAACGUGCCCGAUCGUGGGGGAUAACGAGGCGAAAGCUUUGCUAAUACCGCAUACGAUCUACGGAUGAAAGCGGGGGAUCUUCGGACCUCGCGCGGACGGAGCGGCCGAUGGCAGAUUAGGUAGUUGGUGGGAUAAAAGCUUACCAAGCCGACGAUCUGUAGCUGGUCUGAGAGGAUGAUCAGCCACACUGGGACUGAGACACGGCCCAGACUCCUACGGGAGGCAGCAGUGGGGAAUUUUGGACAAUGGGCGAAAGCCUGAUCCAGCCAUGCCGCGUGCAGGAUGAAGGCCUUCGGGUUGUAAACUGCUUUUGUACGGAACGAAAAGCCUCUUUCUAAUAAAGAGGGGUCAUGACGGUACCGGAAGAAUAAGCACCGGCUAACUACGUG